GAUGAACGCUGGCGGCGUGCCUAAUACAUGCAAGUCGAGCGAACAGACGCGGCGCUUACUCCUCUGACGUUAGCGGCGGACGGGUGAGUAACACGUGGAUAACCUACCUAUAAGACUGGGAUAACUUCGGGAAACCGGAGCUAAUACCGGAUAACAUGUUGAACCGCAUGGUUCAACAGUAAAAGACGGUCUUGCUGUCACUUCUAGAUGGAUACGCGUCGCAUUAGCUAGUUGGUAAGGUAACGGCUUACCACGGCAACGAUGCGUAGCCGACCUGAGGGGCGGAUCGGCCACACUGGAGCUGAGACGCGGUCCAGACUCCUAAGGGAGGCAGCAGUAUGGUAUGGGACGCAAUAGGCGAAAGCCUGACGGAGCAGCGCCGCGUGAGUGAAGAAGGUCUUCGGAGCGUGAAACUCUGUUAUUAGGUAAGAACAAAUGUGUAAGUAGCUAUGCACGUCUUGACGGUACCUAGUCAGAAAGCCACGGCUAACUACGUG
This 497-nucleotide ribosomal RNA is filed under the name uncultured bacterium. Its description in RNAcentral is "partial 16S ribosomal RNA". It matches the Rfam family "Bacterial small subunit ribosomal RNA", at positions 28 to 507 of the family's 1533-position model. The record is from RNAcentral.